GAUGAAGAACGCAGCGAAAUGCGAUAAGUAGUGUGAAUUGCAGAAUUCAGUGAAUCAUCGAAUCUUUGAACGCACAUUGCGCCCCUUGGUAUUCCAUGGGGCAUGCCUGUUCGAGCGUCAUUUGUACCUUCAAGCUCUGCUUGGUGUUGGGUGUUUGUCUCGCCUCUGCGUGUAGACUCGCCUCAAAACAAUUGGCAGCCGGCGUAUUGAUUUCGGAGCGCAGUACAUCUCGCGCUUUGCACUCAUAACGACGACGUCCAAAAGUACAUUUUUACACUCUUGACCUCGUAUCAGGUAGGGAUACCCGCUGAACUUAAGCAUAUCAAUAAGCGGAGGA
Molecule: unclassified non-coding RNA, 337 nt
Filed under: soil metagenome
Description: partial contains 5.8S ribosomal RNA, internal transcribed spacer 2, and large subunit ribosomal RNA
Rfam family: 5.8S ribosomal RNA (bases 1-120)
Source: RNAcentral